This 497-nucleotide ribosomal RNA is filed under the name uncultured bacterium. RNAcentral describes it as "partial 16S ribosomal RNA". It matches the Rfam family "Bacterial small subunit ribosomal RNA", at positions 28 to 507 of the family's 1533-position model. The record is from RNAcentral.
GAUGAACGCUGGCGGCGUGCCUAAUACAUGCAAGUCGAGCGAACGGACGAGAAGCUUGCUUCUCUGAUGUUAGCGGCGGACGGGUGAGUAACACGUGGAUAACCUACCUAUAAGACUGGGAUAACUUCGGGAAACCGUAGCUAAUACCGGAUAAUAUUUUGAACCGCAUGGUUCAAAAGUGAAAGACGGUCUUGCUGUCACUUAUAGAUGGAUCCGCGCUGCAUUAGCUAGUUGGUAAGGUAACGGCUUACCAAGGCAACGAUGCAUAGCCGACCUGAGAGGGUGAUCGGCCACACUGGAACUGAGACACGGUCCAGACUCCUACGGGAGGCAGCAGUAGGGAAUCUUCCGCAAUGGGCGAAAGCCUGACGGGGCAACGCCGCGUGAGUGAUGAAGGUCUUCGGAUCGUAAAACUCUGUUAUUAGGGAAGAACACAUGUGUAAGUAACUGUGCACAUCUUGACGGUACCUAAUCAGAAAGCCACGGCUAACUACGUG